CUGAGUGACCCUGUUGUCAAUCAAAACAAAAUUUUGCAACGGAAUGCCGGUCAUGAGGCACUGAGAUUGCACUCAGAAACUUGGAACCUAAUGCCUAACAUGAAACAGAAAUCCCAAGAUGUAGAUGGAUGCAGUUAUGUCUUCUUUGACUUUGGAAUUUUUGAAGUACAGCUUCUGGUUGGUUAACUUGUUUGCACCUAAGUACAUGGAUCUCAGCCACCAACAGUUUGUGUGACCACCACCACACACGUAUGAGCUAGUGGGACAUUUAGAGCAGUCGCCAGUAUAACACCGCACAGUAGCAUCAAGCACUCUAGAACCUUCAAACAUUUUGGAUGUGGACGUAAUAACUUGGCAGAUCCAGGAUUUCCCUCGACAUCUGGUAAACUGUAGGAGGUGCCGUCUUGACCGGAAUUAGCUACAAGUGAGAACUUCUCUGCAUCUAGCCUCUUCCAUUGUGUAUUAGAUGAACUUGGCUGACUGUUUGAAGACUGUGUUUCAUGCUUUAUUCCCUUGUUAUGGGGUCUGUUACCCGCUUUGAAGCAAGAUUUACGUCGAUUUUUGCCACCUUUCAUGUUAAUUUACAGUACCAUUGACUGAUAAUUUAUGAUGUUCUACAUUUUCUUGCAUUAUUUAUAU
This is a long non-coding RNA of Mytilus trossulus (common blue mussel), 639 nucleotides long. RefSeq lists it as uncharacterized. Lineage: Eukaryota; Metazoa; Mollusca; Bivalvia; Mytilida; Mytilidae. The transcript is spliced from 4 exons. The record is from RefSeq and is a predicted model, not a curated record.